This 479-nucleotide ribosomal RNA is filed under the name uncultured bacterium. RNAcentral describes it as "bacterial SSU rRNA". It matches the Rfam family "Bacterial small subunit ribosomal RNA", at positions 28 to 514 of the family's 1533-position model. The record is from RNAcentral.
GAUGAACGCUGGCGGCGCGCCUAACACAUGCAAGUCGAACGGGAAUCGGGGCCUCCGGGCCCCGACGAGAGUGGCGAACGGCUGAGUAACACGUGGGCAACCUGCCCCCUCCACCGGGACAGCCUCGGGAAACCGUGGGUAAUACCGGAUACUCCGGGACGGCCGCAUGGCCGGCCCGGGAAAGCCCAGACGGGAGGGGAUGGGCCCGCGGCCUGUUAGCUAGUCGGCGGGGUAACGGCCCACCGAGGCGAUUAUGGGUAGCCGGGUUGAGAGACCGACCGGCCAGAUUGGGACUGAGACACGGCCCAGACUCCUACGGGAGGCAGCAGUGGGGAAUCUUGCGCAAUGGGCGAAAGCCUGACGCAGCGACGCCGCGUGCGGGACGAAGGCCUUCGGGUCGUAAACCGCUUUCAGCAGGGACGAGGCCCUCUGGGUGACGGUACCUGCAGAAGAAGCCCCGGCUAACUACGUGCCAGCAG